RNAcentral lists this unclassified non-coding RNA (262 nucleotides) under plant metagenome. RNAcentral's name for it is "partial contains small subunit ribosomal RNA, internal transcribed spacer 1, and 5.8S ribosomal RNA". The record is from RNAcentral.
UUUCCGUAGGUGAACCUGCGGAAGGAUCAUUAUUGUAUAACCGAGGUGCGAGGGCUGUCGCUGACCCGAAAGGUCGUGCACGCCCGAGUGCCCUCACACACAUCCAUCUCACCCCUAUGUGCACCACCGCGUGGGUCCCCCCUGGCUUGUUCGGAGGGGGGCUUACGUUUUCACACAAACUUUGUAUGCAGUGUAGAAUGUAUUUUUUGUUUUUGCGAUCACGCAAUCAAUACAACUUUCAACAACGGAUCUCUUGGCUCUC